Molecule: ribosomal RNA, 128 nt
Filed under: Pichia exigua
Lineage: Eukaryota; Fungi; Ascomycota; Pichiomycetes; Pichiales; Pichiaceae
Description: partial 26S rRNA
Source: RNAcentral
GGCCAGCAUCGGUUUCAGCUGCAGGAGAAGGGGUGCNGGAAUGUGGCUCUUCGGAGUGUUAUAGCAGGNGAUGCUGCGUGUGGGGAAUNAGGAGGACAUGCGGCUUCUGUCUCGGAUGCUGGCAUAAU